This 405-nucleotide ribosomal RNA is filed under the name uncultured bacterium. RNAcentral describes it as "partial 16S ribosomal RNA". It matches the Rfam family "Bacterial small subunit ribosomal RNA", at positions 29 to 526 of the family's 1533-position model. The record is from RNAcentral.
AUUGAACGCUGGCGGCAGGCUUAAACAAGCAAGUCGAGCGAGCGGGGGAAGGGGGAGUAAUGUCUGGGAAACUGCCUGAAGGAGGGGGAUAACUAAGGGGAACGGUAGCUAAUACCGCAUACCAUCAGACGUGCCCAAAGGGGAUUAGCUAGUAGGUGGGGUAAUGGCUCACCUAGGCGACGAUCCCUAGCUGGUCUGGGAGGAUGACCAGCCACACUGGAACUGAGACACGGUCCAGACUCCUACGGGAGGCAGCAGUGGGGAAUAUUGCACAAUGGGCGCAAGCCUGAUGCAGCCAUGCCGCGUGUGUGAAGAAGGCCUUCGGGUUGUAAAGCACUUUCAGCGAGGAGGCGUUACUCGCAGAAGAAGCACCGGCUAACUCCGUGCCAGCAGCCGCGGUAAUAC